RNAcentral lists this long non-coding RNA (873 nucleotides) under Sus scrofa (pig). RNAcentral describes it as "lncRNA (ENSSSCG00005027854.1)". Lineage: Eukaryota; Metazoa; Chordata; Mammalia; Artiodactyla; Suidae. The record is from RNAcentral.
CUGCCCAGGUAGGGAGCUCAAAAGAACGCGCGGUCCCGUGAGAGGUGGGAUUAGGUUCCAUAACACUGUGAAACAGUGAUCUGUUUUUCUGUUUUGUUUUGUUUUUUCUUUUUAGGGUCACAACUGCAGCAUAGGGAAGUUCCCAGGCUAGGGGCAGAAUAGGACCUGUAGCUGCCGGCCUACGCCACAGCCACAGCAACACCAGAUCCAAGCUGCAUCUUCGACCUAUGCCGCAGCUUGCGACAACACUGGAUACUUAACUCACUGAGUGAGACCAGGGAUCGAACUUGCAUCCUCAUGGAUACUAGAUGGGUUCUUAACCCACCGAGCACAAAGGGAAUUCCUUAUCUAUUUUUUUUUUUUAAAUACGCCCUCUUUAUUUUAGAAAAAGAUUUAAAAAUAUAGGAUCUCAGAAACAUAUAGCUAAGAACAAAGAGUGAAUAUAUUCUGAAUACUAAAAUUAGGCUAUACCCUUUCUUAUCUAUUUUUUGAGGACACACACAUUAGACAUAUUUUGGGAAGAGUUCUACUAAGUGGACUCUGGGUCGGUCACUUAAGAUUGAACCUUCACUUGGGGGGAUGCAUGGCCAGGUUGCAAGGUUGCCAUGGUGACCAGAGCAUCAGGCGUGGUGAUGAGUAUUUGCUGGGUGUCUCCUGAAUGCAGGGCAUGGAGGAUUCCCAGCUAGAAUGGCACCUCCAACCCCAGGAAGUUCCAGUCUGCGAUGGAAGGACAAAACCCGAGGGGGAGAGAGCUUUGCAGUGGCCACUCUGCUGGAGUUCAGCAUGAUAGAUGACAAUGGCAAUGAGAAAAAGCCACCAAUGGUCCGGACACCGUGUUUGCCAAGGAAUUGCAGAGUAAAGAAAAAUAAAUGA